GUGGGGAAUAUUGCGCAAUGGGGGAAACCCUGACGCAGCAACGCCGCGUGAGUGAUGAAGGUCUUCGGAUCGUAAAGCUCUGUCGGCAGGAACGAUGGAACAGUUGGCUAACAUCCAACAGCUCUGACGGUACCUGCAAAGGAAGCACCGGCUAACUCUGUGCCAGCAGCCGCGGUAAGACAGAGGGUGCAAGCGUUGUUCGGAAUCAUUGGGCGUAAAGGGCGCGUAGGCGGUGAGGUAAGUCAACUGUGAAAGCCCAGGGCUCAACCUUGGAAGUGCAGCUGAAACUACCUUACUAGAGUCUCGGAGAGGGUGGUGGAAUUCCCAGUGUAGAGGUGAAAUUCGUAGAUAUUGGGAGGAACACCGGUGGCGAAGGCGACCGCCUGGACGAUGACUGACGCUGAGGCGCGAGAGCGUGGGGAGCAAACAGG
RNAcentral lists this ribosomal RNA (431 nucleotides) under uncultured bacterium. Its description in RNAcentral is "bacterial SSU rRNA". It matches the Rfam family "Bacterial small subunit ribosomal RNA", at positions 354 to 776 of the family's 1533-position model. The record is from RNAcentral.